Molecule: ribosomal RNA, 274 nt
Filed under: uncultured bacterium
Lineage: Bacteria
Description: partial 16S ribosomal RNA
Rfam family: Bacterial small subunit ribosomal RNA
Source: RNAcentral
AUACAGAGGGUGCGAGCGUUAAUCGGAAUUACUGGGCGUAAAGCGCGCGUAGGCGGUCUAUUAAGUCAGAUGAGAAAUCCCAGGGCUCAACCUUGGAACUGCAUCUGAUACUGGUAGACUAGAGUUUUGGAGAGGGAAGUAGAAUUUCAGGUGUAGCGGUGAAAUGCAUAGAGAUCUGAAGGAAUACCAGUGGCGAAGGCGACUUCCUGGCCUAAAACUGACGCUGAGGUGCGAAAGCGUGGGUAGCAAACGGGAUUAGAAACCCCAGUAGUCC